This 83-nucleotide microRNA precursor is filed under the name Podarcis lilfordi (Lilford's wall lizard). Lineage: Eukaryota; Metazoa; Chordata; Lepidosauria; Squamata; Lacertidae. The record is from RNAcentral.
CUCGCAAGGGCAGGCACAGGAGCCGUGGUUGGCAGAGGGCAGCGCCUCUCCCAACCGCGGCUCCUGUGCCUGCCCUUGCAAGU